Molecule: ribosomal RNA, 1250 nt
Filed under: Candidatus Phytoplasma phoenicium
Lineage: Bacteria; Bacillati; Mycoplasmatota; Mollicutes; Acholeplasmatales; Acholeplasmataceae
Description: bacterial SSU rRNA
Rfam family: Bacterial small subunit ribosomal RNA
Source: RNAcentral
GAAACAGUUGCUAAGACUGGAUAGGAAAUUAAAAGGCAUCUUUUAAUUUUUAAAAGACCUUUUUCGGAAGGUAUGCUUAAAGAGGGGCUUGCGCCACAUUAGUUAGUUGGUAAGGUAAAGGCUUACCAAGACGAUGAUGUGUAGCUGGACUGAGAGGUUGAACAGCCACAUUGGGACUGAGACACGGCCCAAACUCCUACGGGAGGCAGCAGUAAGGAAUUUUUGGCAAUGGAGGAAACUCUGACCGAGCGACGCCGCGUGAACAAUGAAGUACUUCGGUAUGUAAAGUUCUUUUAUUGAAAAAGAAAAAAUAGUGGAAAAACUAUCUUGACAUUAUUCAAUGAAUAAGCCCCGGCUAAUUAUGUGCCAGCAGCCGCGGUAAUACAUAAGGGGCGAGCGUUAUCCGGAAUUAUUGGGCGUAAAGGGUGCGUAGGCGGUUUGAUAAGUCUAUAGUUUAAUUGCAGUGCUUAACGCUGUACCGCUAUAGAAACUGUCUGACUAGAGUUAGAUAGAGGCAAGCGGAAUUCCAUGUGUAGCGGUAAAAUGCGUAAAUAUAUGGAGGAACACCAGAGGCGUAGGCGGCUUGCUGGGUCUUAACUGACGCUGAGGCACGAAAGCGUGGGGAGCAAACAGGAUUAGAUACCCUGGUAGUCCACGCCGUAAACGAUGAGUACUAAGUGUCGGGUUUUGGCUCGGUACUGAAGUUAACACAUUAAGUACUCCGCCUGAGUAGUACGUACGCAAGUAUGAAACUUAAAGGAAUUGACGGGACCCCGCACAAGCGGUGGAUCAUGUUGUUUAAUUCGAAGAUACACGAAAAACCUUACCAGGUCUUGACAUAAUUUUGCGACAUUAUAGAAAUAUAAUGAAGGUUAUCAGAAUUACAGGUGGUGCAUGGUUGUCGUCAGCUCGUGUCGUGAGAUGUUAGGUUAAGUCCUAAAACGAGCGCAACCCUUGUCGUUAGUUGCGACCACAUAAUAGUGAGCACUUUAGCGAGACUGCCAAUGAAAAAUUGGAGGAAGGUGAGGAUUACGUCAAAUCAUCAUGCCCCUUAUGAUCUGGGCUACAAACGUGAUACAAUGGCUUUUACAAAGAGUAGCUACAACGUGAGUUUUUAGCCAAUCUCAAAAAAACAGUCUCAGUUCGGAUUGAAGUCUGCAACUCGACUUCAUGAAGUUGGAAUCGCUAGUAAUCGCGAAUCAGCAUGUCGCGGUGAAUACGUUCUCGGGGUUUGUACACACCGCCCGUCA